AACGAACGCUGGCGGCAGGCCUAACACAUGCAAGUCGAGCGGACCUUUCGGGGUCAGCGGCGGACGGGUGAGUAACGCGUGGGAAUAUGCCCUUCUCUACGGAAUAGUCCUGGGAAACUGGGGGUAAUACCGUAUACGCCCUUUGGGGGAAAGAUUUAUCGGGGAAGGAUUAGCCCGCGUUGGAUUAGGUAGUUGGUGGGGUAAUGGCCUACCAAGCCGACGAUCCAUAGCUGGUUUGAGAGGAUGAUCAGCCACACUGGGACUGAGACACGGCCCAGACUCCUACGGGAGGCAGCAGUGGGGAAUCUUAGACAAUGGGGGCAACCCUGAUCUAGCCAUGCCGCGUGAGUGAUGAAGGCCUUAGGGUUGUAAAGCUCUUUCAGCUGGGAAGAUAAUGACGGUAUCAGCAGAAGAAGCCCCGGCUAACUCCGUG
This 433-nucleotide ribosomal RNA is filed under the name uncultured bacterium. Its description in RNAcentral is "partial 16S ribosomal RNA". It matches the Rfam family "Bacterial small subunit ribosomal RNA", at positions 29 to 507 of the family's 1533-position model. The record is from RNAcentral.